Molecule: long non-coding RNA, 1144 nt
Organism: Mustela erminea (ermine)
Lineage: Eukaryota; Metazoa; Chordata; Mammalia; Carnivora; Mustelidae
Exons: 4
Source: RefSeq, a predicted model, not a curated record
GUUCACUGUUCAGCCUUAAACAGAUUGAAAUGAUCCGUGGGGGGAAAUCGCACCAAACCCAAGGGCUGUGUUGAAGUGAUGUGUAGCGCCAGAUCCCUGAGCUGCUGUAGAAAGGCGGGUUGUGAAGGCCUAUGUGUCUGUGUUAAAGGGAAGUCUUUGAAAGCUAUCUUUCUAACAGGAUAAAUGUGAAAGCCACUGGGGAGGGGGGGCAGGGAGCAGCACAAAACGGCCACUUGAGCAUUGCUUCCUGCCCAUGGAGCUCUAGCUCCUUACUGACAGUUAUUCUUAGGCCUUCUUUGGCUUCAAAGGUUUCCUCUUUUCUAUUUUUGGUAGCAGAAUAUGGAUUUAGAUCUGCAUAGUCCCUCUCAACUGCUAAUCCAUGCCUAGAAGAGAGUAGGACUGCUGUGUUCUGUUAGCUAUCAGUUCUCUUUUCAGCACCUCCAAAUGAUUUUUAAUAUUAAGGACACAGAUUUAUGGGAAGGAGUCAUUGAGUUUUCAAACUGAUUUGUAGUCCUCUAAUUUGCACAUUCCUUUCUCCAGCAGGGGCAUCUCAGAGAUCAUCUCAAGUAAUGGGGCCUGACUUCUGUGAUGAGUGAAAGAAUCCAGAGGAACAGACUGAGGGCCUGAUCCUGAAAGGAAUUUUGACUUCACUUCCUUAUGAAGACUGAAAAUUGGGCAGACCUGAAGAUUAGGAUUUCCCUCAGUUCCCCUCAGCUCUGUUACAAUAUCAGGAAACUUCUACCAACACAUUCCAGUUCUGAGGCAGUCUUGGUCAAGGCUUUGAAGCUUGGAAUUAGGGUCUCAUCACAGCCCUCACUCAAGAUACUGUAGUAGCAGUACCUGUUCAAAUGUGACCAUGGAGAGGAAUAAUGUCACCAGGACCAUGACCAUUCUCAGUAACAAUGGUAACAUUAUUUUUUGCUCAUGAAGAUAUGGAUUUGGAGAUGAACUAGACAGUGGUUUUGAGAAGACCCAACUGUCUCACUCCUAGCUUCAAACAUCUAAGACUUAUUCAGUUCUACAUUGUAACAUUGCAAGUCAAGAUGACCUUGGAAAAAAACUGAAUAAUUAAACUGAUAUUAACACUGAUGCUAACCUGAAGUGACAUUUAUGUUUGGCUUUGUGGUUGGUUCAUGGAUUUGUA